UUUCUUCUUUUUCUUGCAUUUUUCUCUUCUUUCUUUAUUUAUCUACAAUUUCCUGAAAUAAAAUAAAUAAGCGAUUAAUACUACGAAAAUAAACAAAAAAUAGGCACUUAAAUAUGCAAAAAUAUGGACUAAUCAAACUUCCCCAUACCUAUCUUUUGCUCGUCCUCGAGUAAAAAUCAAAAGAAAAGAAAUAAACUAAGAAAACUAAAUGCGAUUCCUAGGCUCCUUUUCGUAGGCGUGACGGGUGAUUUUAGGUUCACCAACCCGUUAAACUCGUAGACGAUCUCUACAAGAGGAGUUUUGUCUCCUAAGGGUUUACAGAAGAUAUACCCAUAAAAUCUGUGAGACAUUCUAGCAAGUGUCUACUCGACUCUACUCUAAUUUCGUUGGUGUUAACAAAAAGCGUUUUUUUUUUUAAGGAAAAUACGACUUAAAGACUCUUAUACUAAUAAUCAAGAUACAAUUGCCUCUAAUCUACUUGCAUCGACACAAAAAUUUACUAGAAAUCCAAGGAGUGUAAUGAAUUUUAAGGCCUUUGAUGGAUCCUAAUUGUCUAAGAACAUUUUCUCUUUUUCCACCAAUUUUGAACUGACCCAUUCUCUAUCGAAACAAAUAUCUAGCCAAUCUUGCAUUUUUCUUCUUUUUCUUGCAUUUUUCUCUUCUUUCUUUAUUUAUCUACAAUUUCCUGAAAUAAAAUAAAUAAGCGAUUAAUACUACGAAAAUAAACAAAAAAUAGGCACUUAAAUAUGCAAAAAUAUGGACUAAUCAAACUUCCCCAUACCUAUCUUUUGCUCGUCCUCGAGUAAAAAUCAAAAGAAAAGAAAUAAACUAAGAAAACUAGAUGCGAUUCCUAGGCUCCUUUUCGUAGGCGUGACGGGUGAUUUUAGGUUCACCAACCCGUUAAACUCGUAGACGAUCUCUACAAGAGGAGUUUUGUCUCCUAAGGGUUUACAGAAGAUAUACCCAUAAAAUCUUCGAGACAUUCUAGCAAGUGUCUACUCGACUCUACUCUAAUUUCGUUGGUGUUAACAAAAAGCGUUUUUAAGGAAAAUACGAC
Molecule: long non-coding RNA, 1057 nt
Filed under: Daucus carota (carrot)
Lineage: Eukaryota; Viridiplantae; Streptophyta; Magnoliopsida; Apiales; Apiaceae
Description: long non-coding RNA (DCAR_LNC002046)
Source: RNAcentral